UUCAGGUUGGGUACAAUUUGAAUAGGAUUAAGAAUUUUUGGUCUGAUUUUGCUGAAAGCUCUGAAGUAUAGACAUCAUUUGAGUGAUGGGUAUGUUUAUAGACACAAUAAACUCAACUACUUGCUCUUUCACCUUCUUAGUAAUGAAGCCCUCAAUAUAGUCUCAAAUUAGAGGUAUUUGACUUUUAUCAGUGUCAUGCGUUUGCCCUUUUACAUUGUUAGGUUUAUUCAAGUGUGAAGUCCCACAUUGGAUAUGUGGGGGAGUGAAAGAGUUUAUAAGAAGGAAAGGGUCAUGGAACUAAUGCCUUAAGGUUUUGGUUCAAGACGUGGUGUCUCACUUGUGACCCCUCUCUCUUCCCAUACCCAUUUAACAAUGGAAUUCCCUGGUAGUUGGAGGCUCCCCGGUCGCAAUCUG
RNAcentral lists this long non-coding RNA (414 nucleotides) under Lupinus angustifolius (narrow-leaved blue lupine). RNAcentral describes it as "long non-coding RNA (LANG_LNC002189)". The record is from RNAcentral. Lineage: Eukaryota; Viridiplantae; Streptophyta; Magnoliopsida; Fabales; Fabaceae.